ACGUAGGGUGCAAGCGUUGUCCGGAAUUAUUGGGCGUAAAGAGCUCGUAGGCGGUUUGUCGCGUCUGCUGUGAAAACCCGAGGCUCAACCUCGGGCCUGCAGUGGGUACGGGCAGACUAGAGUGCGGUAGGGGAGAUUGGAAUUCCUGGUGUAGCGGUGAAAUGCGUAGAUAUCGAGAGGAACACCUGCGGCGAAGGCGGGUUGCUGGGCUGACACUGACGCUGAGGCGCGAAAGCUAGGGUAGCAAACGGGA
RNAcentral lists this ribosomal RNA (253 nucleotides) under uncultured prokaryote. RNAcentral's name for it is "partial 16S ribosomal RNA". It matches the Rfam family "Bacterial small subunit ribosomal RNA", at positions 525 to 777 of the family's 1533-position model. The record is from RNAcentral.